GUUCCGCAUGGGCUAAGCUGCCCGUUCCUCAUCUUUCUCCUCCCGCUCGUUCCGUGAUCUCCCGUUGUUCCAAGCUUCCAGAGCAGAAUUUCAGCCAAAGAAUAAAUUACUGAUACUGGAAAAAAAAAAAGAAAAACAUUUUCAUUUCUUGAAUUUGUUCUGCGUUGUGGAAAGUCGUCAGAUUGGUCAUUGGCAAAAUCACAUGAAAUUGAUUCUGAGUCUUUGAAUCAAGAUGGCUGUUUGGGAAGGUCGAGAUCUCUUGCAAGGCUUAAUGCCCAGAAGGAAUUCUUGAGGGCAACUGCUCUUUUGUCUGAUAGGACAUUUUGCACUGAAGAAUCCAUUCCUGAAGCCUUCAAUAAGUUCUUGACUUUGUACCCAAAGUUCCAAUGUUCAGAAACAAUUGACCAAUUGAGACUUGACUUUGUACGGGUUGUUUUCUUAUUUUCAAACGCUACAUUAUUGGGAUU
This is a non-coding RNA of Coffea arabica (coffee), 467 nucleotides long. The record is from RefSeq and is a predicted model, not a curated record. Lineage: Eukaryota; Viridiplantae; Streptophyta; Magnoliopsida; Gentianales; Rubiaceae.